RNAcentral lists this ribosomal RNA (2927 nucleotides) under Salmonella enterica subsp. enterica serovar Yovokome str. S-1850. RNAcentral's name for it is "bacterial LSU rRNA". It matches the Rfam family "Bacterial large subunit ribosomal RNA". The record is from RNAcentral. Lineage: Bacteria; Pseudomonadati; Pseudomonadota; Gammaproteobacteria; Enterobacterales; Enterobacteriaceae.
GGGUUGUGAGGUUAAGCGACUAAGCGUACACGGUGGAUGCCCUGGCAGUCAGAGGCGAUGAAGGGCGUGCUAAUCUGCGAUAAGCGCCGGUAAGGUGAUAUGAACCGUUAUAACCGGCGAUACCCGAAUGGGGAAACCCAGUGUGAUUCGUCACACUAUCAUUAACUGAAUCCAUAGGUUAAUGAGGCGAACCGGGGAACUGAAACAUCUAAGUACCCCGAGGAAAAGAAAUCAACCGAGAUUCCCCCAGUAGCGGCGAGCGAACGGGGAGGAGCCCAGAGCCUGAAUCAGCAUGUGUGUUAGUGGAAGCGUCUGGAAAGGCGCGCGAUACAGGGUGACAGCCCCGUACACAAAAGCGCAUGUGCUGUGAGCUCGAUGAGUAGGGCGGGACACGUGGUAUCCUGUCUGAAUAUGGGGGGACCAUCCUCCAAGGCUAAAUACUCCUGACUGACCGAUAGUGAACCAGUACCGUGAGGGAAAGGCGAAAAGAACCCCGGCGAGGGGAGUGAAAAAGAACCUGAAACCGUGUACGUACAAGCAGUGGGAGCACAGGUUUACCUGUGUGACUGCGUACCUUUUGUAUAAUGGGUCAGCGACUUAUAUUCUGUAGCAAGGUUAACCGCAUAGGGGAGCCGGAGGGAAACCGAGUCUUAAUUGGGCGUUAAGUUGCAGGGUAUAGACCCGAAACCCGGUGAUCUAGCCAUGGGCAGGUUGAAGGUUGGGUAACACUAACUGGAGGACCGAACCGACUAAUGUUGAAAAAUUAGCGGAUGACCUGUGGCUGGGGGUGAAAGGCCAAUCAAACCGGGAGAUAGCUGGUUCUCCCCGAAAGCUAUUUAGGUAGCGCCUCGUGAAUUCAUCUCCGGGGUAGAGCACUGUUUCGGCUAGGGGGCCAUCCCGGCUUACCAACCCGAUGCAAACUGCGAAUACCGGAGAAUGUUAUCACGGGAGACACACGGCGGGUGCUAACGUCCGUCGUGAAGAGGGAAACAACCCAGACCGCCAGCUAAGGUCCCAAAGUCAUGGUUAAGUGGGAAACGAUGUGGGAAGGCCCAGACAGCCAGGAUGUUGGCUUAGAAGCAGCCAUCAUUUAAAGAAAGCGUAAUAGCUCACUGGUCGAGUCGGCCUGCGCGGAAGAUGUAACGGGGCUAAACCAUGCACCGAAGCUGCGGCAGCGACGCUUAUGCGUUGUUGGGUAGGGGAGCGUUCUGUAAGCCUGUGAAGGUGGCCUGUGAGGGUUGCUGGAGGUAUCAGAAGUGCGAAUGCUGACAUAAGUAACGAUAAAGCGGGUGAAAAGCCCGCUCGCCGGAAGACCAAGGGUUCCUGUCCAACGUUAAUCGGGGCAGGGUGAGUCGACCCCUAAGGCGAGGCCGAAAGGCGUAGUCGAUGGGAAACGGGUUAAUAUUCCCGUACUUGGUGUUACUGCGAAGGGGGGACGGAGAAGGCUAUGUUGGCCGGGCGACGGUUGUCCCGGUUUAAGCGUGUAGGUGUGUGUUCCAGGUAAAUCCGGUUCACUUUAACACUGAGGCGUGACGACGAGGCACUACGGUGCUGAAGCAACAAAUGCCCUGCUUCCAGGAAAAGCCUCUAAGCAUCAGGUAACAUCAAAUCGUACCCCAAACCGACACAGGUGGUCAGGUAGAGAAUACCAAGGCGCUUGAGAGAACUCGGGUGAAGGAACUAGGCAAAAUGGUGCCGUAACUUCGGGAGAAGGCACGCUGACACGUAGGUGAAGUGAUUUACUCAUGGAGCUGAAGUCAGUCGAAGAUACCAGCUGGCUGCAACUGUUUAUUAAAAACACAGCACUGUGCAAACACGAAAGUGGACGUAUACGGUGUGACGCCUGCCCGGUGCCGGAAGGUUAAUUGAUGGGGUCAGCGCAAGCGAAGCUCCUGAUCGAAGCCCCGGUAAACGGCGGCCGUAACUAUAACGGUCCUAAGGUAGCGAAAUUCCUUGUCGGGUAAGUUCCGACCUGCACGAAUGGCGUAAUGAUGGCCAGGCUGUCUCCACCCGAGACUCAGUGAAAUUGAACUCGCUGUGAAGAUGCAGUGUACCCGCGGCAAGACGGAAAGACCCCGUGAACCUUUACUAUAGCUUGACACUGAACAUUGAGCCUUGAUGUGUAGGAUAGGUGGGAGGCUUUGAAGCGUGGACGCCAGUCUGCAUGGAGCCGACCUUGAAAUACCACCCUUUAAUGUUUGAUGUUCUAACGUGGACCCGUGAUCCGGGUUGCGGACAGUGUCUGGUGGGUAGUUUGACUGGGGCGGUCUCCUCCUAAAGAGUAACGGAGGAGCACGAAGGUUGGCUAAUCCUGGUCGGACAUCAGGAGGUUAGUGCAAUGGCAUAAGCCAGCUUGACUGCGAGCGUGACGGCGCGAGCAGGUGCGAAAGCAGGUCAUAGUGAUCCGGUGGUUCUGAAUGGAAGGGCCAUCGCUCAACGGAUAAAAGGUACUCCGGGGAUAACAGGCUGAUACCGCCCAAGAGUUCAUAUCGACGGCGGUGUUUGGCACCUCGAUGUCGGCUCAUCACAUCCUGGGGCUGAAGUAGGUCCCAAGGGUAUGGCUGUUCGCCAUUUAAAGUGGUACGCGAGCUGGGUUUAGAACGUCGUGAGACAGUUCGGUCCCUAUCUGCCGUGGGCGCUGGAGAACUGAGGGGGGCUGCUCCUAGUACGAGAGGACCGGAGUGGACGCAUCACUGGUGUUCGGGUUGUCAUGCCAAUGGCACUGCCCGGUAGCUAAAUGCGGAAGAGAUAAGUGCUGAAAGCAUCUAAGCACGAAACUUGCCCCGAGAUGAGUUCUCCCUGAGACUUAGAGUCUCCUGAAGGAACGUUGAAGACGACGACGUUGAUAGGCCGGGUGUGUAAGCGCAGCGAUGCGUUGAGCUAACCGGUACUAAUGAACCGUGAGGCUUAACCUUACAACGCCGAAG